UAAUUCUUUCGUUUCAAUUGAACCCUCAAACCGAGUUGUUUGCAAAUUUUGCCUUUUGCUUAUGUCUAAAAAGUAGGGAGCAUUAUUGAAUAAAUUUGGUUGUGGAAUCUAAAGUUGGGGAGAGUAAAGUAAAAAGAGUUGAUUAGAAAAUUGGAAAAGUGAUGUUUUAUAAAAGGGUGAAAGUAUGAAAAGAAACAAGAAAAAGAAAUCACCCUUGAAACUAUAGAGCAAAGAAAAAGAAAAGAAAAGAAAACAAAGAAAAAGCUCAUGGUUGUGUGGAUGUAAAAUAAGAAAAGAAGAAAGACGGGGAUCAAAGAAAUGGAAAUUGUGUAGAGUUGAAUGUAUGGGAAUGCUCCCUUAGGAUAGGCAUUUUUGUUGAAUUCUCUUAAUCAUAUCCUUUCUUGUAACCCAAGCCACAUUAUAACCCUUGAAAGACCUCUUGAUUCUCAUUUUUCACAUGAUUUGGUAUUUGUUUUGAUGACCGCAUGAUUCGAGUUGUUGUUGAUUUAAUUGCUUGGAUGAGUGAAAGUAAACCUUCAUG
Molecule: long non-coding RNA, 541 nt
Filed under: Lathyrus oleraceus (garden pea)
Lineage: Eukaryota; Viridiplantae; Streptophyta; Magnoliopsida; Fabales; Fabaceae
Description: Pisum sativum (pea) long non-coding RNA (PSAT_LNC005236)
Source: RNAcentral